GACGAACGCUGGCGGCGUGCUUAACACAUGCAAGUCGAACGGAAAGGCCCUGCUUUUGUGGGGUGCUCGAGUGGCGAACGGGUGAGCAACACGUGAGUAACCUGCCCUUGACUUUGGGAUAACUUCAGGAAACUGGGGCUAAUACCGGAUAGGAGCUCCUGCUGCAUGGUGGGGGUUGGAAAGUUUCGGCGGUUGGGGAUGGACUCGCGGCUUAUCAGCUUGUUGGUGGGGUAGUGGCUUACCAAGGCUUUGACGGGUAGCCGGCCUGAGAGGGUGACCGGCCACAUUGGGACUGAGAUACGGCCCAGACUCCUACGGGAGGCAGCAGUGGGGAAUAUUGCACAAUGGGCGGAAGCCUGAUGCAGCAACGCCGCGUGCGGGAUGACGGCCUUCGGGUUGUAAACCGCUUUCGCCUGUGACGAAGCGUGAGUGACGGUAAUGGGUAAAGAAGCACCGGCUAACUACGUGCCAGCAGCCGCGGUGAUACGUAGGGUGCGAGCGUUGUCCGGAUUUAUUGGGCGUAAAGGGCUCGUAGGUGGUUGAUCGCGUCGGAAGUGUAAUCUUGGGGCUUAACCCUGAGCGUGCUUUCGAUACGGGUUGACUUGAGGAAGGUAGGGGAGAAUGGAAUUCCUGGUGGAGCGGUGGAAUGCGCAGAUAUCAGGAGGAACACCAGUGGCGAAGGCGGUUCUCUGGGCCUUUCCUGACGCUGAGGAGCGAAAGCGUGGGGAGCGAACAGGCUUAGAUACCCUGGUAGUCCACGCUGUAAACGGUGGGUACUAGGUGUGGGGUCCAUUCCACGGGUUCCGUGCCGUAGCUAACGCUUUAAGUACCCCGCCUGGGAAGUACGGCCGCAAGGCUAAAACUCAAAGGAAUUGACGGGGCCCCGCACAAGCGGCGGAGCAUGCGGAUUAAUUCGAUGCAACGCGUAGAACCUUACCUGGGUUUGACAUGGAUCGGGAGUGCUCAGAGAUGGGUGUGCCUCUUUUGGGGUCGGUUCACAGGUGGUGCAUGGCUGUCGUCAGCUCGUGUCGUGAGAUGUUGGGUUAAGUCCCGCAACGAGCGCAACCCUUGUUCACUGUUGCCAGCACGUUAUGGUGGGGACUCAGUGGAGACCGCCGGGGUCAACUCGGAGGAAGGUGGGGAUGACGUCAAGUCAUCAUGCCCCUUAUGUCCAGGGCUUCACGCAUGCUACGAUGGCUGGUACAGAGAGUGGCGAGCCUGUGAGGGUGAGCGAAUCUCGGAAAGCCGGUCUCAGUUCGGAUUGGGGUCUGCAACUCGACCUCAUGAAGUCGGAGUCGCUAGUAAUCGCAGAUCAGCAACGCUGCGGUGAAUACGUUCCCGGGGCU
This 1346-nucleotide ribosomal RNA is filed under the name uncultured bacterium. Its description in RNAcentral is "partial 16S ribosomal RNA". It matches the Rfam family "Bacterial small subunit ribosomal RNA", at positions 28 to 1381 of the family's 1533-position model. The record is from RNAcentral.